Mustela erminea (ermine) is the source of this 5457-nucleotide long non-coding RNA. RefSeq lists it as uncharacterized. The record is from RefSeq and is a predicted model, not a curated record. The transcript is spliced from 2 exons. NCBI's taxonomy places the organism in Eukaryota, Metazoa, Chordata, Mammalia, Carnivora, Mustelidae.
AGCCACCCAGGCGCCCAGCUUUCAAAAUUUUUAAAGUAUCUGCAUCCCUGUUUAUUCCAAGUCAAAUCCAAUUUUUUUUUCUUAAACAAUCAAGUCAGAUUUCCUCUUAUGAAGUAACUUUGGGAUUCCAUAAUUCCAUUCACCCCGCGUUCCACUAAGGUUCUGCGGCAGCCCUUCACCCACGUGACAUCGUGUGAAAAUGUCUGCUCUGCUCCCGAACAGAUGGGACCCACCGUAUUUAGCAGUUUAACAUGGCCACACCAUCUGGUCGUGUGUGUAGUGAGGACAACAGAGGUCCAGCCAUCCUUCUUUUCCUGGUGUCCUCACAGCAUUCCCCAGAGCGUAUGUGGCGUUACUUAACAUGCUAGCCCUGUUAGAUCGUCUUGUGGUUCUAAAGUUCUGAGGCCAUAAUGGUGUGUAAGACCAAGGACUCCAAAGGAUUAAAAUCGCCACAUGUAAUCUGGUAGAGAUCAACUCUAUGGACAUGGCCGGAAAGCAGACAGGAACAUCCCUUUUGAAUGUCAAUAGUAACCUUGAACAGAAUGAACUUUUAUCAGAGAUCUUGAUAUUUAGGCUCAGGUGGCCAUCACCCAAGAAUUAGGAAUUUGAGGUGGUUUCAUUUUAUUUUACAUUCCUAGUAGGAGCAUCUCAUUACUGCCUGAAGGAUAUCCUUACGGAAGUUAUGUGGAAAUCGAGGGAUUUUGUUCAGUGCCUCUUUCUGUGUGUUAACCAUUUAAGGCAGUCUAAAUCCCCUCUAACCCCCAGGAAAAGACCAUCUACAGGCUUCGUUUUCAUGCAAAUUAAAAUGUGAAAUUCACAUUCUCUUCGUGACUCAAUGUAGCCUUGUGCUCCACACCAUUUCUCUGUAUUGAUAACAUUCCCCCAAAAGAGACAUGAAUGCUCCAACUUGUGCGGGACACACUGUUAGGAAACAGAAUCUGAAAAUGGCCUGAAGAAAAGAGAAUCCCAGGUGCAACUACCAAUUUCUUUAUGUGCUAGUGAAUAAAGAUAUUGUGACAUGUUGAGCAGUUCUUAAAAAGUGUUUAUAUACUUCGGUUUUGAUUGAUCAAAGUUUUUAAGUAGCAAGAUUCUGCAGACAUUAAAUACAAGAAGAACAGCAAAGAAGUUGUGGGAAUUGUUGGUAAGAUUCAUUUAUAAAUUUCUGUCUUUUCUACUAAUUAGGGAGUUGCGUUCAAGUCUUUGUAAAGAGAUACUUCAGUGGUGCCCUUCCUCGAGCUUUUUGAAUUUAUGGUUGGGCUGCUUUCUGCCUUGGAUAAUUGAAAGCAAAUUACAUGUAUCCUGUUCUCCCUAAAGAAGAAAAUGAUACUGAUUUUAUCACAUCAUCAUCUUUAUAGCUAGCAGCAAAUGCCUUUAUUGAGCACCCACUGUAUACACAGCACGGUUCUAAUCAAGGAUUUGCUAGAUCAACCUUUGAGGUCUCGUUCCUAUUCUUACUCCUUUAUUUCCAUAACUUCAUUAGCUUCCAAAGCCCAAUUCUAAUAUGCAUAAUUUAAGUAUAUUCCAGAUUCAGUCAGGUAAUUUUUUUUAAAGCAUUCUCAGGACAGGGUCGACACAUACUAUUGCAUACACAUACUAUGAGAGCUUGGCACAGUUGGCUGCCGGCAACAGACUGAGAUUCAUUCUGUAUAGCUAUUUUCCAGCCUGUUGGAUGCCAGCCAGUUGCCUAAUGGAUCAUGAGUGAGUCAGUUUUAUUCAGCCUCUUAGCAAAGUCGAUUUGUCCAGCAGCACACGAUUUUCUGUCAUGUAGGGUCUUUGCCUGACCCUGCAGUGACUAGCACCGUCUGUUCCUCCAUCUCUAGAUUCCAACUGGGGUUUGGCCCCAGAAGACUGGUCUAGAGAAUGAGAGUCCUCUUCUAAGGAGGGACAAUGGUGUCAUGAAAGCUUCCGGGAAGAAUUAGGUAGACUCACCUAUAUUCCAAAGAGGGCACAAAAAUAUCCAGAUGUUAGGUUGGCUUAAUAUGUGCAUGGGGCAAUGAACAACACUUGCCUUUUGAUGACUUCAGGCCCAGUCCCUCUUGCUAUUAUUUUAAGUUGCUGAAAAAUAAUGAAAACGGAGUCCAUCUGGAAGGGACUGAAUGGUGUGUGCCCGUAAACCUGACUCACGGCCCAGUGUUGAAGGUCAGUGUGGCCCCUUUUAAAUCUGCCCCGUGCAUGGGACAAGGGACCAGGUCCAGGCAGGAUGUGAGAUAAGCACAUCUUCUGUACCCCCAUUGCUCCCCUCCAGACCUCAGAGCUCAUCACGUGCCAGGCACCAGGUGUAAAAUAACCACAAAAUUCCAAUUCCCCAUUGGAGAAACUGUGGCUUAAUGUAUAUAUUACUCGGUUCCUUCUUUUCUAUUUGAUACAGUAAAAUCAAAAUCUGGGGAACCACUGUGACCCAGGCAGACAUACUCUUGUGGAUCAAAAAAGCUUUGGUUUCCAUUCUUCAUCCCUUCCAGGUCUUAAAAGUAUGCAAAAGACAGCCUUAGCCUCAUCGACUCCCUACUUCCAUUGUGAGGAAUCAGAACAGACCACUUUCCUCUUUGAUUCAUUUUUUUAAAAUUGUCCAUAAUGAUGCAUACCUCAUGCUUGUCUGCCUUCCCCUUGCCUUUUGUUUCUUCCUGUCUGGCCUAAGGAGCAGGCUCUUGGCAUGAUUUCAGCUGUGCUUUCCUAGCUGUUACGCAUCGAGCACACUCUACCAGGUAGAGGCUAGCGUGUUCUUUUCACGGACGUUAGCAGGUUGUAACUUAAUCUUCCAUUCCGCGUUUCACCCCCAGAAUCUAAGUGAUCAGUACGCACAUUUUCAAGCUACACAUCUGACACGAUAUCCAAACUUGCUAGGAUCAAUUAUUAUCAUCAUUUCAGAUUUGAGAUUGCAGAUGUUCAUCCCGGGACUUUGCCAAUAUUCUUAGGUCUGGUAAUUUUUUUUUCCCCCGUAGAUGAGUGUUCCAAUUUAAGUGUGUUUUCUUUUCACGAGUCUUCGAUGUGUAACUGUUCUGACAUUGCAGAGAUUGUAGGAUUCCUAAUAUUUAGUCUCAUGAGGUGCUCCAUUUUUUUUAAAAGUACUCUUUUUAUUGUGUUUCUUUCCUGCUGACCCAUCAUUGCACUAGAUCAGGUCCUUAUUUGUCUUUUGAGCAUGACUAAUAAUAAUAAAGUCUGAGCUCCGGUCUGAGAUUCCAUAUUUUAAUUGUAUAAAGCAGCUCUGAAGACCCAGACUGACAAGAUCCCAAGCCUAAAUGAAAUUAGGUCAUGUCUCAGAGAAAUCAUCCCGUGAAUCAAGCAGAAUGUGUGGGUGUGUGCACAUGUGGGAGAGAGAGAGAGAGAGAAUGUACUUGCACACAGCCCACGAUGCUAAUAAUAUUUCCUCAGACUGCAACUACUCAGGGCCCGUGUAGUAAAGUGAAAAGAGCUUGGGGGGGUAGAUCUAGCAUUCAUGUGACAGGUUAGGACCCAAAAGCCUAGACAGAACACAUUAUUUGCCUGAAAUCCCCUAGGUCUGUCAGGAUGCUCCUGGCCCAAGCCUCUCUACUGAGAGCCAGCUCUGACUCUGACUGGGGCCUGGAGCUCUGCCUACCAGUCAGGUGUUUCCCAACUCCUAAUGACACAGUUGGGGGCAGGGGGCGGGGGCAGGUGAAGUUUUCACCUACAGGUCCAUCUCCAGAUUCUAAAAUUUACCAGCGAGGUUGUGAACUCAAGAGCUGCUAAGCAGAACUGGAGAACAGCCCUGUAUCAUUAUCACAGUUUUAUGGGGAAGUCCAGAAAAGAAUAAAAAGCAGACUCAUGGCGCCUUCUAUACCCCAGAAGUAGACCCAUCACAAAGAGGAGUCAGAAACAAAUUUGUUGUAGGCAAAAUGUUCCUUGUGGGAUUAAAAAAAAAAAAAAAAAAAAAAACUGAAUUGUGCAAAUGUGAAGUUGGGUGUGUACAUGUCCAUUGUGAUGUGGGGGGAAGCAUGCUGCGGGGUGUGUGUGGGUCUCCAAAUUCAUUAACACUGCUUGGUCGCAAAGCACCACUCCUUUUUGCUAAUAUUAUUAAGUGCCAUCUAUUAAAAAAUCAGAUGCCUGCAAAUGGGAGUAUUUAAAUCGUUGGAGGAAGCAAGAUAGCUUGUAUCCCAUUAUUAUCAAAGACUAAUAUCCAAAUAAGGAUAUAAUCAAACAACUCAAAACAGUCCCAAGACUGAAGCAAAGGAAUGUCCACAGUAUUCUAAGCCAGUGUCUGGAUGCUGAAAAUCAGCCUUACUCGUCAAUGAAAGUGACCACAAAAUUAGAUGAUUUUGACCCAAAAGAAUGCCUCAGCCUCCUUUCCAAGAGUGCCUGCCAGCUUUCCAUUUAUGCGUUUCCCCUCUGCACCCACAGUCCCAGGUGGAAAUGAAGAUGGUUUUCUGUUUGUUUUGAAGACAGAGCUUUAGGUCAUUGAGCAGAGUGUGAACUGAACUGAAUGUGAAGGAAAGAAACUCUUCCCAUCAACAUCGGCAGUUUGGGGGAGACAGGGAGACGGAAAACACUACUCGGGUCUCAGAAAAGCUUUCCCCGGAGUUGGAUCAUGUUAGAUAAUGUCAUGAUCCUCUUCACUUUCAAAGUUAGAUAAUGUCAUGAUCCUCUUCACUUUCAAAGUUCCUUAAUUACCUUAGAGAGGGAAAACUGUACCCAAGUGGUGGAAAUCUACAUUUCUUUUCCCUGAGUGGAAAAAAGCCCGCACUGCUCUCCAGCCGAAAGCCCUCACCAGUUUCCCGGGUUGCCUUUCCCUGACACUUCCAACUCCUCCACCGGCAGUAAGGACCCCCUGGGCCACUCCACAGCUUGAAGAGCACAAGAUCCUUGAAAAUUAUCACCAUCUCAGAAAUAGCGAUUAUAUUAAGCAGCCUCAGAAUGCUUCCAGCUUUUACCUAUACCUGGUUUUUUAAAAAAAAAUUUUUUUAAGUGCAUUGAAAAUGGGAGGUAGUAAAGGCUCAUGAUUCUUUUCCAAGAACCUGAAAACACAAGGUAAUUAAUCUUUAAGGAUGGUUUUGUGCGUCUGAGUUGUGUACGUGAUGUCGUUUCAUAGACUGGAAGUUCUGUGAACUAUCAGAUUGGAUAGAUGUUGCCUCCAAUUCUGACUGCAGGACCGACUUCAUUGUUAAAUUGAACAUUAGCGCUGACAGAACAUGUUCUUCAUAGGAGUGGAUGGAGAAAAAUUGAAGUAGGAUCAUGUGGGCUAAGCUUGAGGCAGUCUGAUCUGUUGAAGAAUUACUAGGCACACCAAAGGAGAUGGUCCUGGGCUAGUCAUCUCUCUGAGGUUUGCCAUGCCUAGCAUUUUCAUCAUGGGUAAUUCAGAGAAACUCUUGAUUUAAUUACCAAAUGUUUUCUACAACAUAUUUAAAGUUAACUAUUUAUUUUGGGCAUGAGUAAAUCAGGGAAUUGCUUUAUGCCAAGUACUUACCUAUUGAUUCUAUAUGUAAGAAUCUGAAAAAAAAAAAAAAA